GAGUUUGAUCAUGGCUCAGAUUGAACGCUGGCGGCAUGCCUUACACAUGCAAGUCGAACGGCAGCACGGGAGCUUGCUCCUGGUGGCGAGUGGCGAACGGGUGAGUAAUGCAUCGGAACGUAUCCUGGAGUGGGGGAUAACGUAGCGAAAGUUACGCUAAUACCGCAUAUUCUGUGAGCAGGAAAGCGGGGGACCUUCGGGCCUCGCGCUCUUGGAGCGGCCGAUGUCGGAUUAGCUAGUUGGUGAGGUAAAGGCUCACCAAGGCGACGAUCCGUAGCAGGUCUGAGAGGAUGAUCUGCCACACUGGAACUGAGACACGGUCCAGACUCCUACGGGAGGCAGCAGUGGGAAUUUUGGACAAGUGGGGCAACCCUGAUCCAGCCAUGCCGCGUGAGUGAAG
This 400-nucleotide ribosomal RNA is filed under the name bacterium enrichment culture clone ALO1_GLFRUDD03HF0FC. RNAcentral describes it as "bacterial SSU rRNA". It matches the Rfam family "Bacterial small subunit ribosomal RNA", at positions 9 to 410 of the family's 1533-position model. The record is from RNAcentral.